AUUGAACGCUGGCGGCAUGCCUUACACAUGCAAGUCGAACGGUAACAGGUCUUCGGAUGCUGACGAGUGGCGAACGGGUGAGUAAUACAUCGGAACGUGCCCGAUCGUGGGGGAUAACGCAGCGAAAGCUGUGCUAAUACCGCAUACGAUCUACGGAUGAAAGCGGGGGAUCGCAAGACCUCGCGCGGACGGAGCGGCCGAUGGCAGAUUAGGUAGUUGGUGGGAUAAAAGCUUACCAAGCCGACGAUCUGUAGCUGGUCUGAGAGGACGACCAGCCACACUGGGACUGAGACACGGCCCAGACUCCUACGGGAGGCAGCAGUGAGGAAUAUUGCGCAAUGGGGGCAACCCUGACGCAGCAACGCCGCGUGAGUGAGGAAGGUUUUCGGACCGUAAAGCUCUGUCGAGCGGGAAGAAAUGCAUGGUGGCUAAUAUCCAUCAUGCUUGACGGUACCGCUAAAGGAAGCACCGGCUAACUCCGUG
RNAcentral lists this ribosomal RNA (483 nucleotides) under uncultured bacterium. Its description in RNAcentral is "bacterial SSU rRNA". It matches the Rfam family "Bacterial small subunit ribosomal RNA", at positions 29 to 507 of the family's 1533-position model. The record is from RNAcentral.